Rhipicephalus sanguineus (brown dog tick) is the source of this 490-nucleotide long non-coding RNA. RefSeq lists it as uncharacterized. The record is from RefSeq and is a predicted model, not a curated record. NCBI's taxonomy places the organism in Eukaryota, Metazoa, Arthropoda, Arachnida, Ixodida, Ixodidae. The transcript has 3 exons.
GUCAUUAACGUGCGCGAUCCGCCGCAAAUCAGCCACGAUGCAUUGCAACGGGCACGUUCAGUGGGCUGCGCGGCCGUUGCGACGAGCUGCAUUGCUGAUUCUUCGCUUGCCUGAGACUCGCAGUUGUCGAGCGGGUUGCAUCCGUUGUUACGUUGCCCGAAGACCGCAGUAAAUGUGAUUUGCAGGGUGCAAGCAACGUGUCAUUGUGGUUAGAAAAAAUGAAUCAGUAUACAUGUGAUUUAACUGUCAAAGCCGGAAUGUUUAAAGGAUCGACUGUCCAGCGAGGAGAUUGCGGAAUCAGCAGCUGACAUAUUGACUGAUGAAACAUGAUGGUGCGUGCAGCAAGAGAGGGUUUGACUGCAGAUCCUGACCACCUGCUCCUGUAAAUUUGUACCAACCACAGGCGAAAACAAGGGGAAACGCUUUGAAUACCUGCGGUCUUCUAUCAGCUAGACAAGUCCCUGAAGCUAUAAAUCAAUAAACUGAUGUA